GAGGGUAUAGCUCAGUGGUAGAGCAUAUGCCUAGCAUGCACAAGGUCCUGGGUUCAGUCCCCAGUACCUCCA
Molecule: transfer RNA, 72 nt
Filed under: Camelus bactrianus (Bactrian camel)
Lineage: Eukaryota; Metazoa; Chordata; Mammalia; Artiodactyla; Camelidae
Also listed under: 2 other names
Rfam family: tRNA
About the family: Transfer RNA (tRNA) molecules are approximately 80 nucleotides in length. Their secondary structure includes four short double-helical elements and three loops (D, anti-codon, and T loops). Further hydrogen bonds mediate the characteristic L-shaped molecular structure. tRNAs have two regions of fundamental functional importance: the anti-codon, which is responsible for specific mRNA codon recognition, and the 3' end, to which the tRNAs corresponding amino acid is attached (by aminoacyl-tRNA synthetases). tRNAs cope with the degeneracy of the genetic code in two manners: having more than one tRNA (with a specific anti-codon) for a particular amino acid; and 'wobble' base-pairing, i.e. permitting non-standard base-pairing at the 3rd anti-codon position.
Source: Rfam by way of RNAcentral